Molecule: small nuclear RNA, 172 nt
Filed under: Vulpes vulpes (red fox)
Lineage: Eukaryota; Metazoa; Chordata; Mammalia; Carnivora; Canidae
Description: U4 spliceosomal RNA (ENSVVUG00000013224.1)
Source: RNAcentral
AGCUUUGCUCAGUGGCAGUAUCGUACCCAAUGAGGUUUAUCCGAGGCGUGAUUAUUGAUAGAGGCUGCAACCAUCUUGGAUCAUGAGGUGGAAGCCACAUGCCUUAAGAAGGACAGAGGUAAAAGGUAGAAGGGGUCUGGGGCCUGAGAAUUUUGUGAAGCUCCUUAUCAGC